Molecule: ribosomal RNA, 981 nt
Filed under: human gut metagenome
Description: bacterial LSU rRNA
Rfam family: Bacterial large subunit ribosomal RNA
Source: RNAcentral
CCUAAGGUAGCGAAAUUCCUUGUCGGGUAAGUUCCGACCUGCACGAAUGGCGUAAUGAUGGCCAGGCUGUCUCCACCCGAGACUCAGUGAAAUUGAACUCGCUGUGAAGAUGCAGUGUACCCGCGGCAAGACGGAAAGACCCCGUGAACCUUUACUAUAGCUUGACACUGAACAUUGAGCCUUGAUGUGUAGGAUAGGUGGGAGGCUUGGAAGUGUGGACGCCAGUCUGCAUGGAGCCGACCUUGAAAUACCACCCUUUAAUGUUUGAUGUUCUAACGUUGACCCGUAAUCCGGGUUGCGGACAGUGUCUGGUGGGUAGUUUGACUGGGGCGGUCUCCUCCUAAAGAGUAACGGAGGAGCACGAAGGUUGGCUAAUCCUGGUCGGACAUCAGGAGGUUAGUGCAAUGGCAUAAGCCAGCUUGACUGCGAGCGUGACGGCGCGAGCAGGUGCGAAAGCAGGUCAUAGUGAUCCGGUGGUUCUGAAUGGAAGGGCCAUCGCUCAACGGAUAAAAGGUACUCCGGGGAUAACAGGCUGAUACCGCCCAAGAGUUCAUAUCGACGGCGGUGUUUGGCACCUCGAUGUCGGCUCAUCACAUCCUGGGGCUGAAGUAGGUCCCAAGGGUAUGGCUGUUCGCCAUUUAAAGUGGUACGCGAGCUGGGUUUAGAACGUCGUGAGACAGUUCGGUCCCUAUCUGCCGUGGGCGCUGGAGAACUGAGGGGGGCUGCUCCUAGUACGAGAGGACCGGAGUGGACGCAUCACUGGUGUUCGGGUUGUCAUGCCAAUGGCACUGCCCGGUAGCUAAAUGCGGAAGAGAUAAGUGCUGAAAGCAUCUAAGCACGAAACUUGCCCCGAGAUGAGUUCUCCCUGAGACUUUAAGUCUCCUGAAGGAACGUUGAAGACGACGACGUUGAUAGGCCGGGUGUGUAAGCGCAGCGAUGCGUUGAGCUAACCGGUACUAAUGAACCGUGAGGCUUAACCUU